Molecule: ribosomal RNA, 433 nt
Filed under: uncultured prokaryote
Description: partial 16S ribosomal RNA
Source: RNAcentral
CCCUACGGGGUGCACCAGGCUGGGCAGGGAAGCGGCGGUGACAGAAACCGACUCGCCAUCGCAUCCCAGCCCCGUGGUCAUCCAGACCACGUGGACUUCCUUCACGGCAGGGGGACGGUCGGCCACUACGGGAGCGGUUUUCAUUUUUUCUUUUCCUUGGUUAGGGAUUACAUGCGGCGGAUGCGGAGAUAGCGGGCCAAUCCCCGCAGGUUGUUGAGAAUCAUCACCACGAUAGUCAGCAAUACGAUGCCGGCCACACCCAGGGCAAUGACCUCCACGACGGAUCUUGUUUCACUCAAGAAGGGCAUAAUCUUGUCCUUUCAAAUUCUUCAACCCUGGCGCUGGGAUGUCUGUUUUCCGGAGCCCAGGUUUCCGAAAGCUCCCUGACCAAGUCCAGGAUCAUGCGCGAGGCUAAAGGAAUUGGCGGGAGGGC